RNAcentral lists this ribosomal RNA (497 nucleotides) under uncultured bacterium. RNAcentral's name for it is "partial 16S ribosomal RNA". It matches the Rfam family "Bacterial small subunit ribosomal RNA", at positions 28 to 507 of the family's 1533-position model. The record is from RNAcentral.
GAUGAACGCUGGCGGCGUGCCUAAUACAUGCAAGUCGAGCGAACGGACGAGAAGCUUGCUUCUCUGAUGUUAGCGGCGGACGGGUGAGUAACACGUGGAUAACCUACCUAAAAGACUGGGAUAACUUCGGGAAACCGGAGCUAAUACCGGAUAAUAUUUUGAACCGCAUGGUUCAAAAGUGAAAGACGGUCUUGCUGUCACUUAUAGAUGGAUCCGCGCUGCAUUAGCUAGUUGGUAAGGUAACGGCUUACCAAGGCAACGAUGCAUAGCCGACCUGAGAGGGUGAUCGGCCACACUGGAACUGAGACACGGUCCAGACUCCUACGGGAGGCAGCAGUAGGGAAUCUUCCGCAAUGGGCGAAAGCCUGACGGAGCAACGCCGCGUGAGUGAUGAAGGUCUUCGGAUCGUAAAACUCUGUUAUUAGGGAAGAACAUAUGUGUAAGUAACUGUGCACAUCUUGACGGUACCUAAUCAGAAAGCCACGGCUAACUACGUG